Cygnus atratus (black swan) is the source of this 985-nucleotide long non-coding RNA. RefSeq lists it as uncharacterized. Lineage: Eukaryota; Metazoa; Chordata; Aves; Anseriformes; Anatidae. The transcript is spliced from 4 exons. The record is from RefSeq and is a predicted model, not a curated record.
GUGGUUAAGCUUUUGGCACUGUUAUAUUCUACUUGAGCACUUAACUCUUGUGAAAUGAUGCACCAGAUGCUAAGAAGCGAAGGCCAGAAGUUACUCAGUCCUUCCCAAACUGUAAUAGCUUUGAAAACUAGCUGCCUCUUGACAGUGUUCCUUCUGUGUGCAAAGCAACAAAUGUCCUUAACUGGGAGUCUUCUGGUUCCUGAACUAAUUUUGCCUCACAGCUUUUCCUGUUACCUGGGCUUUCCUGGUCUUGGUUUUCGAUACUUCUGCUGCCUCCUUUGUGGGAGCAGGUGUGACGCUUUGAGCGGACGUGGUCCUGCCUUAAGUGCACUGUUAGAGCUUGGAAAUGCAGAGAUGAAAGGCUUCUGACAAAGCUUCUCCUUCAGGAAUGACCUCUUUGUGUUCCUGGCUGUUCACCCUCAGCAGUUCUCAGUGCAGGGAAAGGUGCAAGCUGCUGGAGACAAGGUUUCUGUUCUGUAAGGAAGCUCUGUGGCUUCCGAGAGCUCUGCUGCACUCUUGUAGCUGUUGUAAUCACCUCUGACCUCUGGAGCUGUGACGCCUUGCCCUGCAGUCGCAGGCCCUGUACUGACGGGUCAGACGCUUCUUGCUUUUGAAGAGGGACUCAGUUGCUGUGAGCUGGACUGGUGGUAGAUGGACGUGAAGCUGAAGAGAUGCUGUUCCGUGAGAACCUUUCUCCUGGGACUUGAGCUGUCGUGGUAGGCUCAGUGCCCCCUUAGGCUGAGGUGCAGCACAGGAGCCAGCUGGCUCCGUGUGGUAACUCGGUAGAUGGAGAAUAGGCAGACAUGCUUGCUUGUCUGCCUUUUGCCAUUAAGGCCACGGCCACGGGCCAUCUUCCUCCAGGAACUGCAAGCAGUGAGUAAUGCUGAUUUUCCAGGAACAGCAAAAAGAGCCUAUUAUUGGGGUGCCAGAGACUUCCUGGUGGACAACCUGAGUACUGAGCAAAACACGGAAGGUGACCACUUGC